CUGGAUUGCGCUAUGCAUUCUGGGUAGGAUCGUUUUGAGGAAAGAAGCGAGUCCGGCGUAGAAAUUAAGUCGUUUCUCCGCGGCAUAGACGCACCAAAAUCGGAACCGUUUCCGCGGAGCUGCUGUAUGUUUCACGUAGGUUGGAGAUCGUAAGGUUUCCCAGGAACUUUUGAAUGUCAAGUACUGAACUGCUUGAGCAAAGUCUCAGUGACAAAUUUCUAACAGAAUCCCAUCAAGUUGUCAUGGAAUCUAUUUUGAAAAACCCUGCCAUAAGCCAAAGGAAGAUAAGAAGUGAACAGGGCAAGGGAUAAAAAAGCAGUUCAAGAAAACCAUCUGAAGAAAUAGGAAAGCCACGUUCACGCUGGUAAGACAGAAAGGAAAAGCGAUAAGAGGUAAGUUACCUGGUACAGAGAUUAUAUAUAUUUAUAUAUACAGAUAUAUACAGAUGAUGCAUGCACAUAUGGUAGAUAUAUAAUGAGAAAAGGAAUUCUGGGCACUUAGUUCUACAUUCUGUGAAACCUGUAUGCAGAAAACUAUGCACUCAAAGCAGCUCUAUAGGUUUUGAAACUUGGAUCCCAGCUCUGAAUGGUAUCAGUGCAAAAGCUUUUCUGUCUGCUUUGUGUGCAAAGCCAGUCCUUGCAUCCUUGCAUUCUCUCUCCCAGAAGUAUGCAAAAUCCUUGACCUUUGGUCCUUCUUCCUUCAUCCCUGUAGAAGAGUUCUUGAAGCCUUGUGUUCAAGCACAGUUGGUCUGGUCUCCACUUGGGGAGAGUGGCUGGCAGCUAUGAACAGGGCCUGACAGAUGUCAAAAGGCAGCCUGUCCAGUUAGGUUACCAUUGGACAUUUGCUAUUGUCAGAUAAAUUGCUGUCCCUUUCCUCAGCCAUGUCAACCAAUAUCACUUCAAUGAAAGAGAUAGUGCAAGUAAUCUCCCUCACUUGCAUUUUUGUAGAUUUGCAGAGGCAUAUCUGUUGGAGAAAUUUUAAAUAUAAAUAUAUUAAAGACUUGCAGUCCAAUAUAUGGUAAGUUUUGUAAUCAGGUGUGAGUAAUCUAUGACCAUCUGGAUGCUGUGGGUCAAUUAUUUUCAUUCAUGGAGCCAUGGAGAUGGCCUCGAGGGAACUAUUCAGAAGCUGUUACAAAAAUAAAAAGAACAGAAGUAUUCAUUUAGUCUUUGGAAAGAUACUUCUUUCUGACUUUCUAGGAUAAAAGGAGAGGGUGAGACUGAAUCAGACUUGCAAGAUUCUGUUCCCUAUCUCAAUAAAGUUAAAUUCUUCUUUUUCAUGGAGGCUGAAUAAAUCUCAAAGAGCUGAUACCUGCGUGAGCAGGGGAUUGAACUAGAUGACCUCCAAGGUCCCUUCCAACUCUGUUAUUGUUACCUGUUUGAGGAUAAGAGGAGUUCUUCAACAAAUCUCAAGAGUACCAUGUUGGGGAAGGACAGAUUGUUCUAUACAUGUACAAGAAGAGGAGAUUCAUCUGCUCUUAUGGUUCUGAUUUACAGCUUUGAUUUUUAGACACUCAAGGAAAUGAAGAUUCAAACACUGCUGUUUUGACGAUUAGUUCUAAUUAUGUAAACUAGAUAACCCAUGAUCUAUUGGGUCAAUGUUUAGAGAUACUUCCCUACCUAAAACGCAAGCACCUUCCAUGCACCUCAUUCACUACCUUUCAAACAGCCAGCAUCAUUCCUUAUCUUAUACCUCUUGCACAUGCCUGUGCACCUUUCCAAACUUACAUAGUGCAUCUCAUAUAUCCUCUUCGCAUCCCUGACUCGUGUUUCACACAGACCAGUACACUUUUUUUGCAUCAAUCCCAACCUGAUGUAUACACCUCUCAUGCACCCUCCCUGAUAGUGUGGCACAUCCAGCACAUUCUUACUCCUUCGUCCAUCUGGCAGCAGCCACUCACUUGCCUACCAGUCUGGGAUUUCCGACUUCCUUAUGGGAAAUUGAGAAAGAGAAUUGGAAAUGAUGACCGCAUGACCAUAGCAGUGCAAGAGUAUGGCAAUGUUGAAACAGUCACAACUCUGCCAAAUUUCAAUCUCCCAGGAGUUAUUGGUCUCAGAUUUUGGAUGUAUUUUGUAAGUUAUCCCAUUUGAGAUACAUUAGUUCAAAAAUUGUUGCCCUAUGAAGCACUGUUUUGCCCAAUUUACUAUUAGAAACAGGCAGAGUUUUAGUUCAGUGGUGCAUAGAUGAACAAAUUUCUUCUAGUUAAGUUGGAGCUUGAAAACUUAAUAGGACAAUAUGGAUUUCAAUUAUUGAGUAGUAAAUGCACCCUGAAAUAGCAUUUUCACCCUUUUCUGUUCUGACAGGGGUUUUAUACCUUUAUUCUCAAGCACAGAGGAAGGAUUUCCCAUUGGUGCAUCAAGCUUAUUGACUGAAACUCUCCUCUCAGUUUUCAUCAAAUCCUUUAAAAGUCAUUCAGAACUCCCUGUAGCAAUAAACUUAAUUAUAUGCCAUGGAAGAAGAAAUGGUUUGAUCCUUAUUUUUUAUCUAUUAGUGUCAGUGACUGGUGAUGAGUUUCUUUUCCUCAAAGAGAAUAGAAUACAUUUAUUUUUUUCCUAAGUCAUUCUGUCCUCAUUAUUUGUUAUUUUAUCUCAGAGAUGUGGGAAUGUCUCUUUCCUUCCCUUUUUGAUUGAUAUAUUAUUAUUUUUAAAAAGAUUAACACUGAUUCCUCCUUCUCAGCAUUUAGCCUGGAGCUGCCUUUCUCCAGGCUUUUCCCUACUUGCAUUUAAUUACAGUAUAAAUAUGCCCUGGCAGCAUUUUUUUGUCUUCCCACUAUAUCUGCAUUGUGUUGACUCUCCAAUCCAAGAGUGUAACAGCUUUAAAUCAAGUUUAGUUGUAGCUGGUAUUUUCUCCUUGUACUCUAACACCAUUCAAGGGCAACAUUAAGAUAUCUAUACUCUGGUGGACUUAGUCAGGUGACUUAUUGACUAUGAAGAAGGCAAUGCAAGCAAGAUAGGAUCAGUAAUGGGAAUAGCACAGUUUACAUUAAUAUAUACUCUAUUUACUCAUAAGUUGCAUAUGCACAACAAUAUCAACACGUUAACAGAACCAUAGUUUUAUUCAACUCAGUUUUCAAAGAUCCUUUGAUAUAUUGAACCAUAAAUGAGCUACUAAGCAUGAAAUUGACUACUUCAGUAAGACUUGCAAAUAUAUUUAUUUUUAAUUUUAAAAAUGGCAUUCUGGUCAAGCUGUUGCACUUUAAAGCUGACUGUGUUGUCCUCCAAGCUGGUUCCAAACCCAUGUGGAGCAAUCUCACUUAAAAUAAGCUAGAGAACAUGUGCAAAAGGAAAAUUAUAACAGAGAUUUUUAAAGUGUAUUUUGUUUUAAUUACAGAUUUUCUUCUCUGUUUUCCCUGACUUAAUUUCUCUGCUUAUGAUACAAUUAAAUUAAAUAAAGGCUAAGAAUGUGGUUUAUUUAGCAACAACCCCAUUAUUAAUAAAAUAUCUCUUGGUGAUGCUACAAGCAGUUAUGUUCCCCAUCCAAAAUUGAAUGGUCUCUCUACUUAUUUUCUCUCAUUUUUUUCAUAUAGCAAAAUAGCACUUCUCACAAUAAAGAGAAAUAAUAUUUAAAAAUAUGAGAAGAAUGCAGUAAUUUAAAUAUACUUGCUGCAGAAUAGAAACUGCCCAAUUAAAGAGUGAUUCAUCAGUGAUGGAUUAUAUUCAAGAAAAAGCAAGUAGGUUCUAAUAUAUGCUACAAGGAAACUUUACUGACUAGAAUUCGUUACAGAGUAAACAUUUUUUAAGUAUCUUAAGUAGGAUUGGCCAAUAAUACGCACAUUAAUAAAUGUCUUCUGAAGCCAUAACUUUAAUUUUAUAUCUAGCUAAUUAUUAAAAAAACAAUACCUCAUCAAUGCCAAAUGCCCUUAAUGUAGCAGAAACUGCUAUUCAUAGGCUAUUUGGUAAUAUAGCAGUUUUUCAUGGGGACUAUUUCACACAGGUCCUGUUCAUGUGACAUACUUAAUUAGGUCAUGGGUGGGGGGAGGCGGAUGAAUGUGGUGCCAAUAGGAAAAUGGAGCCAGCUAAUUAAUGUGAUGGGACAGAGAGGGGUUGAUUAAGCCCUAAAAAGCCUCAGGUUUGUUUGGAUUGGGGCCAAAAUAAUUAUUUUGGGCACAAUGCAAAUAACUUAUGAAGGGUUAACUGCCCUCCCUGUAGAAUUACAAAAAUGGGACAUCUCUAGACAUCUUGAUGAUAUAGCCAUUUUGCUUUUCACCUUCCCAUAGUAGGAGAAGCAGAAAUAAAAAGGACAGACAUUUCCCCCCCACCCAUUCACGGUGAUGCCAAUCCUCAUCCAUUAUGAGAUAUCUCUCUCUCUCCGCCCUCUCCCUCUCUCUCUCCGAAAAUCUCCCAGAUGGCUCAGUGUAUUAGAAAAUAGCCAAGGGAUAAUUGAUUCAAUUAUUCCAACUUGUCAGCAUAUAGAAAUUUGUGAUUGGUCAGGAGAUUGGAUGUCUGGAUCAGUUUUGCUAUGUAAAUACUGUAUGGUCAUCAAAAACUGUUAUAUAAGCCCAUGGAAUCUGAUUUAUCAGUUUAAUUAUAAAAUUAUAAUUCAAUCAGUUUUUAUAAAUUUAUGCAAUUUAAUGUCUAUGUCAUAGAAUCUGGAUAAGAGAAAAUAUUUUAUUUUUGGGUAUUCUCUUUUUCAUGCUAUAAAUUUCCAUAUUUGGUACUCAUGUGCAUUAUAUUGGCCUAGAAUUUAUACUAGCAAAUUUGUAUGAUUUGGUCAGUGCCCAUCUAAUAAUUUGCUUGGUUUCACUAGUACAACAAUCAAGAACGAUCCAGCAAUAUUAGGUCAAACAUUUUGAUGGACAGCCAACUAGUAAGUGACAGUGGUGUGUUGGAUAUAUGACACAUAUCUCAAAUGACUUCUGUCAGGUGCUUUCUGCAAAGGAGAAAUCAGUAGUUCAGUCAAAUAAUUUUAAAAGACUGAUCUUAAUAGAUUUAUCAUAUUUUUCACAAGACACAAGACUAAGCUGAUGACCCAAAUCAAAUAUCCUUAUUUUGAUUAUGGCUCCAAGUAAUUCAAAGAAUACUAUUUGAAGAUUACAGGUCCCCAUUUCCAUUUCUCCAGAUGGGACCUGGCACCCCAUAAACUCUCUUUCCUGGUUAGUAUCCACAAGACUUCUUAAUAUCACUAGUCCCUUAUCCAUUGAAGAGACUGGUAGGAGUAAGUAUGGUUUGGGCAUUGUAGACAGUCAAGAUUUUGAAAGUGUGUUUGAUAUUGCUAUUGUGAUACAAUAGUGAAUUUUGUACUAGAGCUUAUUUAUUCAGCCAUUGACAAGGAUGGGAUUAGUUUAACUCUAUGCACAACUGGGCUGUUCUGAAUUAUGGUUAACUCUCCCAUGAUUAUUUUACUGGCAUUUGGUCUAAUGGUUAAGUCACCAGGCUACUAGGAGAUUGUGAGUUCUAGUUCUGGCUUAGACAUGAAGCCAGCUGGGUGACUUUGGAGAUGAGGAAAGCCAAUUUUACAAACAGAAGGCCUUUCUGUAGCAAAUUAUCUUUUUCCCCUAUAUCCAAAUGUCAAGACCAACACAUGCAACAUGAACUGAAAGCAUGAGGAAGGAGAACCAGGGGUGAAAUGCUACUGGUUCGGCCUGGUUCAUCCGAACUUGUACUGAUGGCAGCAGGUGGUUCGGAGAACCGGUAGCAACGGCAGCGCAUGGCUCCACUCACCCAGCUGAUCGUCAUUACUUCCUGGUUUUAACCAAGAAGUAACCUGUUUUUUACCCUCUGCACAUGCAAAGAGGGUCCGCAUGAACAUGUGAUGCGUGGCCCGUGCACUUCCGAAUCGAUAGGAAAGGUAAGUAGAUUUCACCCCUGAGGAGAACCAACUGUUUAUUUCAUAUUCCGGUUGCAUGGAGUGGAUUUUGAUUACUCUAGGACUGGUAGUAGCUCAGCUAAAGAGCAGGAGGCAUGGUGGAUGUCAUCGAUGGAAGGAGAUGAUAAUUGUUAUCUCAUCUAGUCAACUGAAAGAGCACAAAUUGUCUCCUGAAAUCUCUACUAAUAAUAUUAGUAGAAAAUAGUAGAAGUGAGUGAUGAGGAAAGUAUUGGCUUUGAGCAGCAGGCUGUGGAAUAAAAACAGUGAUAACUUGGAAUUGCCCUUAGAUAGGUAGAUGGCAGAUCUGCAUAAUUUGUGGUCUACUAAACCCGAUGAGGUACAUCAAUCAUAUCUUAUGGCCAAACAGAUGGUAAGCAACAUCCAUUUUUGCCAUCUCAGCAGCAAAACCAGGAAGUGUAUCUUGGCUUUUAACAAUGUUUUAAUGGUAUUUAAAAUACACUUUCUCCUACUGUUUAAGAUAUAAAUACUUCUAAGACAUCUUAGAAGAAAAAUCUAAGAAUCACAAAUAAACAGUGCUUAAAAGUAGCAAAAAAUUGUGUUAUUUUUCCCCAAAGCAGUGGGGUGGUUUUGAUCCUAUGUCAGUCGAAAUAGCAGAGGAGAGAAUUGGAAAACAGGACCACAUAUUCUUUUCAUGAAUUUCCCUUUAGCAAUAAAGUAAUAUGAUGUAUUAAGAAUAUAUGAUCUUUAUAUUAAAAAAAUCAGGGAUGAAGCUUCACAUUUUUUUCAGCAACCCAGGAUCACAGUGGCUCAGUCUAAAAUUUUGGGGAAAUGUUUUCUACGUUGUGAGAACAGGAGCAAGGAUUCUUUUUCAAAUUAUCAAUUUAAAUGACUGAAGACCAUACAAUUUUUUAUGCAUCAUUUCUUUUUUCUUUUUUUUCAGUAGAAAGCUGGCAGGAAAUUAUAUGUCUACUGUUGCUCAAUUUACUGCCCAAUUGCAGCGGCAUGAUCUGAGGAUUGUCAGGGGCCCAUAAAAAGUACUUAAAAAGUGAAUGAAAAAUUUAUAUACUGACAAAUAGGACUGACUUUCUGGUCAAAAAUGGAUGGAGGAAAAUCUACUAUGAGGAUUUUCUUAUCUCAGUUUCUCUGCAUCUGAUGAGAAAAAAAACACAUUUGAAAUGUCUUUUAAUUUACCAAAUUUGUCAGGGCCAAUAAUUGGGAAUAAAAAAAAAACCUAGAUAAUUCAAUAUCUUUUAUUCCAAGUUUGUUCUGUCUGUGUUACUUCAUUUGAUAAAGGUUUUUAGGAAACAGAAUGAUGCCUUACACACAGAUUACACACAGUAGUAAUCUCUCUACACACACUGUCAUUUGACCAGGUGAAGCUUUUUAGAUUUUCAGGUUAAACACAUUGUCUUAUGGAAAUGCAAUUUCUGAAUUUUGAUGUAUACAGAAUAUUUCCAGUGAAUGAGAACAAUUCAAAUUAGAAAACUCUGCUGGCUUUCUGUUAGUGUUUAAUUAUUGUGUAAGGAGUUGCAGUAUGUAUUUAUGGAUAUUUCAACAUCUGCAUAUUUUCAAUUUCAAUCUAUAUUUAUGUAUUUCACUAUUUCAUUCUUAUUAAUUUGAUCGUUAAUAUUGAGUUACAUUUACCACAUCUAUUUCUAAAUACAAUAUACUUUUUACCUGGCAGUAAAUCCCAAUAAACUCAUUUGUGAAAAUAUACUGUACUUAUAAGACUGUACUUUUUUUAUUUAGCUUAAUGUCUCAGUUCAUUAAUUUUUUGAUUAUUUUUCUGGGUAACAAUAUCUUGGAAUAAAAUAGUUUGUGUACAGCUGAAAUAGUUCAGUCUCCUUCAUCUUGUUCCUCUCCAUGUUGGACCAUGUUCUGGCCAUGUUAGAUAAAAAACUGUGGAAGUUAUAAUCCAAUAUAUCUUUAAACAUUAGGCUCUGAAAAACUAAUCUAAUGAAUGAGAUACAAACAUUUCUGUGGGAAAAAAGAUGGCAAUAAAACAUGUUAUGGAGUUUCGUAGAUUUUCUGUUUUGUUUCAUUUGUAAUAAAAUAAACAUUUAUAUUAAGAUAUUCUAGACUCAAGCAUCUGUAAACAGUAUCCUUUGAAUUAGAAUUCUUGCCUUUUAUUUCCUGAUGUAUGAAAAUCAUUUUUAUAUACUUUGUGGCACUAAGAAACAUACUUUGUAUAUGCUCAAAAGUAUUUCUAUCUGUUUUAUAACUUAAGAUCAGCAUAAAUCAGUGGAGUGCUGGAGCUGGUUUGUACUUGCAAAAGCCGAUUCUUAAAUUUUCUGGAAUUUUACAAGCCAGAUGAGAGAAGGGAAGACCUGAGUCACCACACCUAGAUCAGCUGUCUGGUGGUUAGCAGCACCACACAGUGGCAGCAAUGGAGCUGGCAGAGUCAGUGUUAAAUAUUUACCAGAACACCACUGAGCAUAGGAACCAACUGGAGUUGAGUCAAUGACCCCAGCUUGUUAAAUUUUAGACUACAUAAACCUGCAAAGCUGAAUGCCUACACUUUAUGCUCAGGUUCUUUUGCUCAUAUGAUAAACAAUUAAUGCAGGAUGCCAUUACCAAGAAUUUUUCUUAUUUAACAGUUUCAUUUCAAGCCGUCCUGUAGAGAUCAUUUCCUUGUGCAGCCAAUAUGGUGUGUAUAAUGAAUUUAUAGCGUAUGUGAGAGAAAGUAAAACUGUACUUUAGGCCUACAUUAACAUACAUUCUCAAUAAACAAGCUGUAUUGGGGGGUGGGGGAGAUCUGAUAAGCUUCACCUUGUUGAUCAUUUUUUCAUAUUUUAAAUAAUAAAUAUGUUGUGAUCAGAAAGAUUAGCAAAGGCCAACAUGACAAAUUAUAUAUAAAAAAGAAAUAUGUCUGACAUGAGUCUGAAAAUUACACAUACAACCCUGUGUCAUUCUUC
Molecule: long non-coding RNA, 8678 nt
Organism: Ahaetulla prasina
Lineage: Eukaryota; Metazoa; Chordata; Lepidosauria; Squamata; Colubridae
Exons: 4
Source: RefSeq, a predicted model, not a curated record